RNAcentral lists this ribosomal RNA (137 nucleotides) under Crax rubra. RNAcentral describes it as "partial 16S ribosomal RNA". Lineage: Eukaryota; Metazoa; Chordata; Aves; Galliformes; Cracidae. The record is from RNAcentral.
UAUGAGACACCUCUUCUAGUACGAAAGGACCGAAGAAGUAGGGCCAAUACCACAAGCACGCCCUCCCUCUAAGUAGUGAACCCAACUCAACUACCAAGAGGUUAAUACCCCACAAUAUCGUCCAAGAAAAGGAUGCC